AGAGUUUGAUCCUGGCACAGGACGAACGCUGGCGGCGUGCUUAACACAUGCAAGUCGAGCGGAAAGGCCCUUCGGGGUACUCGAGCGGCGAACGGGUGAGUAACACGUGAGUAACCUGCCCCUAGCUCUGGGAUAGCUCCGGGAAACCGGGAUUAAUACCAGAUACGACCACUUUAGACAUCUGUUGUGGUGGAAAGGAUUCCGGCUAGGGAUGGGCUCGCGGCCUAUCAGCUUGUUGGUGGGGUAACGGCCUACCAAGGCGACGACGGGUAGCCGGCCUGAGAGGGCGACCGGCCACACUGGGACUGAGACACGGCCCAGACUCCUACGGGAGGCAGCAGUGGGGAAUAUUGCGCAAUGGGCGAAAGCCUGACGCAGCGACGCCGCGUGGGGGAUGAAGGCCUUCGGGUUGUAAACCCCUUUCAGCAGGGACGAAGCGAGAGUGACGGUACCUGCGGAAGAAGCGCCGGCUAACUACGUGC
This 482-nucleotide ribosomal RNA is filed under the name uncultured bacterium. Its description in RNAcentral is "bacterial SSU rRNA". It matches the Rfam family "Bacterial small subunit ribosomal RNA", at positions 8 to 508 of the family's 1533-position model. The record is from RNAcentral.